GGGCUUGGGCUUGGGCUUGGGCUUGGGUGGAGGGCCUUUGGCCCGAUAAGAAGUAUUCUUUUUGGACCAAGUUAAGCUCAACGUUUUGCCAUUUAUUUCGGGGAAAAAACAUCAUACAAUUUUAUUUAAAACGACAAGUAGUUUGUCUAGAAAAUAAAAACGUCAUGCAUGUUAUCCUCUCGAAAUUUUUAAACGAGAUAAGAGAGAGUCUUGAGGAAGAAGUUUCGGAACUCAACUUCCCUCGAUCUCCGCGAGAUUCUCGCCCACGUGCAGCAGCUGUUGCGGGAAGUGGGUCGUCUCCGUCUCUUUAAAUAUCAUCUCUUCUCUUCCUUCAUUUUUUAACCUUUUCUGAAUCGAAAUCCAACAGCAAAAUUCCCUCUGCGUAAGUCUAUUAUUGCGAGAGUGUUUCGUAGAUUUUUUGUUCGAUAGGGCGAUCACGGGUGAGGCGUGAGUCGUCUGCCAUGGUUGUAUCCUGGGACUCUAUAUUCGUACAGUCCCUUCUCUCUCCAAUGCUAUGUUGCAGGAAUCUGGGUUAGAUUCUGUUUGAUUUUGUUUUCCCUUAGAACCUGGUCUCGGGAACCUUGCUCAGCAAGAAUGGAUUCGCCACAAGCUUUGAGGCGGAUAAGCUCGUGAUUAGGAAGAAUGGGAUGUAUUUGGGAAGGGGUUAUGUUAAGGGUGGACUUGUCAAGUUGAAUGUAAUGACAGUCACUCCAAAAGUUGUAGCUCCAAAAGUUUCAAUGAAUAAGAAUGAGCCAGUUGCUUAUUUGGUUGAGUCUUUUAAUAUAUGGCAUGAAAGAUUAGGCCAUGUAAACUACAAAUCUAUACAAAGAUUAAUGAAUCUAAAUCUAAUUCCUAAAUGCAAAACAAGUAAACAAAAAUGUGAAGUAUGCGUACAGGCUAAGCUCACAAAAAUACCAUCACCUCGUGUUGAAAGAACUAAUAAACCUCUAGAUUUAAUUCACACUGAUUUAUGUGAUUUAAAAUACUUACAAACUAGAGGUGGUAAAAAGUACUUUGUGACCUUCAUAGAUGACUGCACAAAAUAUUGUUAUGUUUAUUUAUUACAUAGCAAAGAUGAAACCUUGGAAAAAUUUAAAGAAUUUAAACUCGAGGUCGAGAAUCAGCUUAAAACAACUAUUAAAGUAGUUAGAAGCGACAGAGGAGGCGAGUAUGAUGGUCCGUUCAAUGCAUUCUGUAAAGAACAUGGAAUAAUCCAUCAAACUACAGCUCCGUACUCACCAGAAUCUAAUGGAGUUGCUGAACGAAAAAAUCGAACUCUAAAAGAGAUGAUGAAUGCUAUGUUGCAGGAAUCUGGGUUACCCCAGAACAUGUGGGGGGAAGCAUUGCUUACCACUAAUUAUAUCCUCAACAAAAUUCCACACAAAAUAACUGGCAAAACUCCAUAUGAAUUAUGGAAAGGUAAUUUACCUUCGUAUAAAUACCUCAAAGUGUGGGGGUGCCUGGCAAAAGUUGCGGUACCACCACCAAAGAAGGUCACUAUUGGACCUAAAACAGUGGAUUGCAUCUUCAUCGGAUAUGCACAUAACAGUAAUGCUUAUCGAUUUCUGGUACAUAAAUCUGAAAUAUCAGAUAUUCAUGAAAAUACAGUCAUGGAAUCAAGAAAUGCAUCUUUCUUCGAGAAUAUUUUUCCAUAUAGGGAAAAACAAGGUUCAAAACGAACUCGAGAAGAAAGAGACAAUGACAAGAACUCAGAAACUGAGACAAACGUCGAGAUUUCUAUAAAUGAUAUUUCAGAAAAUGAAGAAAAAGAUGAACCUCGAAGAAGCAAAAGAGCUCGAAAGGAAAAAUCUUUUGGAGAAGAUUUCUUAAUGGCAUUUUUAGUAGAAAAUGCUCCAAAAACUUUGGCAGAAGCCAUGGCUUCACCAGAAGCUCCAUUUUGGAACGAAGCUGUCAGGAGUGAAUUAGAUUCGAUUAUGCAAAAUUAUACGUAUUACAUAACGGAUUUACCACCUGGCUGCAAAGCAUUAGGGAAUAAAUGGAUAAUGACACGCAAACCUGGUGGAAAAUACAAGUCUAGGCUUGUAGUUCAAGGAUUCCGACAAAAAGAAGGCCUUGACUAUUUUGAUACAUAUUCUCCAGUGACGAGAAUAACAUCAAUAAGACUGAUGAUAGCAAUCGCAGCCUUAAGAGACUUAGAAAUCCAUCAAAUGGAUGUAAAAACUGCUUUUCUAAAUGGUGAUUUAGAAGAGGAAAUUUACAUGAAACAACCUGAAGGUUUUGUCAUUCCCGGACAGGAAGACAAAGUAUGUCGACUUGUAAAGUCACUUUAUGGGCUUAAACAAGCUCCUAAACAAAACCCGACAGAUAUUAACUAUGAGUGGUUCAAGGCUUAAAAAUGCCACCAACUCAAACACAGUGAAUUUUUCGCAAACACUCUCGAUAAGUCUGUCUAGUCUAGUCCAGAUUAGAAUAAGUAUAGUUUUUUAGAGUCUAUCGAGUCUGCAUUUAGUCUGCAUAUGUUUAGAAGAGUCAUUUCUAUUCAUGUGGGGGAUUGUUGGAUCCAUUAAUAGCCUUUAGGCUUUAAUGAAAUAUGUGAAAAGCAAAUGACUUGGGCCUGUGUGAUCAACAGCCCAAAGUAUCAUCAUUUAUGAUGUAAGGAGACUUGUCCCACAUCGCUUAGAGGAAGAGAAGUUGAGCAAUAUAUAUAUGUUCACUUACCAUGAAAGCUUAAACAGCUUGGAGAGAGAAGAAAGCUCCCCACGCGCGCGCCGCCGCCGCCGUCCGGCCGGCUCGGCUCGGCUCGGCUCGGCUCGGCGUGGGCGUGGGCUUGGGCUUGGGCUUGGGCUUGGGCUUGGGCUUGGGCUUGGGCUUGGGCUUGGGCUUGGGCUUGGGCUUGGGUGGAGGGCCUUUGGCCCGAUAAGAAGUAUUCUUUUUGGACCAAGUUAAGCUCAACGUUUUGCCAUUUAUUUCGGGAAAAAACAUCAUACAAUUUUAUUUAAAACGACAAGUAGUUUGUCUAGAAAAUAAAAACGUCAUGCAUGUUAUCCUCUCGAAAUUUUUAAACGAGAUAAGAGAGAGUCUUGAGGAAGAAGUUUCGGAACUCAACUUCCCUCGAUCUCCGCGAGAUUCUCGCCCACGUGCAGCAGCUGUUGCGGGAAGUGGGUCGUCUCCGUCUCUUUAAAUAUCAUCUCUUCUCUUCCUUCAUUUUUUAACCUUUUCUGAAUCGAAAUCCAACAGCAAAAUUCCCUCUGCGUAAGUCUAUUAUUGCGAGAGUGUUUCGUAGAUUUUUUGUUCGAUAGGGCGAUCACGGGUGAGGCGUGAGUCGUCUGCCAUGGUUGUAUCCUGGGACUCUAUAUUCGUACAGUCCCGUCUCACUAACGGAGCGAAUAUUUUGAGUUAAGGAAAGAGAUCAUAUCUCGCCUCCAUGUCUCGUUGCGAAUACGGUUUCUUAUCGUUCUCGUAUUCGUUUUCUAUAUUCGUCUAUUUCCUUAACUUCGCUUUUAUUAUAUCGUUUACAUCAGUCCGGUUUACCGGCAUUAACAACUAUUAGCGUGAUGACUUUGUAUUUUAUAUUGAGUGGGCAUUUACAUCGUAACCGUAGACCCUAACUUUCAUUUUGAAAUCUAAUGAAACGUUUCAAAUUUCGAAAACGGUUUUCGUUCAGUUUUAAGUUUUAACGUAGUUGGAGAACUUGAGUGUGUUUGGUCAAGCGUUCCGGUUUGGUUCGGUUCGAGGAGAACUAAAUACAGCUCGUGAACCUGGCUAAUAUGGAGUUUUUGUAUCGGUUUGGAUGUAACUCGUAAAGUUAUUUUUUAUUUUUAUUUUUUUGUCAACACUAGUUCGAGUUAUUCAUGUGGCAAUCCAAUGAAACUAAGCCUGGUUUGGUUAUCGGAUUGAUCCUGUUAUGUGAUUUAACCGAAAAUUUCACGCGAGCUACUAUGGUCAACAAGAUUUUUUGAUGGUUUUGAGUCUUUUGACUUGUGAUUUACAACUAACCACGCCAUGAAUAUGCGAUGCAUUUGAAUUAUUGAUUAAGCAGUCGUUGAGUUUUGAUCCAACACAUCUACAAACUUGGUUUACUCCAAAAGAUCUAAUAUUUUUAUAUAACUAAUGAUGUCUAGGAAACAGUCACAAGACUCACCAACAUACACGGGAGUGAUCCAAAAUGUUUUCUUAAAAAUAGAUUGUGC
Molecule: long non-coding RNA, 4151 nt
Filed under: Brassica rapa (field mustard)
Lineage: Eukaryota; Viridiplantae; Streptophyta; Magnoliopsida; Brassicales; Brassicaceae
Description: long non-coding RNA (BRAP_LNC003778)
Source: RNAcentral